Molecule: ribosomal RNA, 200 nt
Filed under: uncultured bacterium
Lineage: Bacteria
Description: partial 16S ribosomal RNA
Rfam family: Bacterial small subunit ribosomal RNA
Source: RNAcentral
GAUGAACGCUAGCGGUAUGCUUAACACAUGCAAGUCGAACGAAAAAAUUUGAAAUAAUUAAAGAAAUUUAAAAAAGUCUAUUUUUUAGUGGCGAACGGGUGAGUAAUGCGUGAGAAUUUGCCUUUAGGAGGAGGAUAACCAUUAGAAAUAAUAGCUAAUACUCCGUAAAGUCUUAUUAUUUAAGAUGAAAGAAUGAAUAU